UAUACUGCAAGUCGAGCGGACCGACGGGAGCUUGCUCCCUUAGGUCAGCGGCGGACGGGUGAGUAACACGUGGGUAACCUGCCUGUAAGACUGGGAUAACUCCGGGAAACCGGGGCUAAUACCGGAUGCUUGAUUGAACCGCAUGGUUCAAUCAUAAAAGGUGGCUUUUAGCUACCACUUGCAGAUGGACCCGCGGCGCAUUAGCUAGUUGGUGAGGUAACGGCUCACCAAGGCGACGAUGCGUAGCCGACCUGAGAGGGUGAUCGGCCACACUGGGACUGAGACACGGCCCAGACUCCUACGGGAGGCAGCAGUAGGGAAUCUUCCGCAAUGGACGAAAGUCUGACGGAGCAACGCCGCGUGAGUGAUGAAGGUUUUCGGAUCGUAAAACUCUGUUGUUAGGGAAGAACAAGUACCGUUCGAAUAGGGCGGUACCUUGACGGUACCUAACCAGAAAGCCACGGCUAACUACGUGCCAGCAGCCGCGGUAAUACGUAGGUGGCAAGCGUUGUCCGGAAUUAUUGGGCGUAAAGCGCGCGCAGGCGGUUUCUUAAGUCUGAUGUGAAAGCCCCCGGCUCAACCGGGGAGGGUCAUUGGAAACUGGGGAACUUGAGUGCAGAAGAGGAGAGUGGAAUUCCACGUGUAGCGGUGAAAUGCGUAGAGAUGUGGAGGAACACCAGUGGCGAAGGCGACUCUCUGGUCUGUAACUGACGCUGAGGCGCGAAAGCGUGGGGAGCGAACAGGAUUAGAUACCCUGGUAGUCCACGCCGUAAACGAUGAGUGCUAAGUGUUAGAGGGUUUCCGCCCUUUAGUGCUGCAGCAAACGCAUUAAGCACUCCGCCUGGGGAGUACGGUCGCAAGACUGAAACUCAAAGGAAUUGACGGGGGCCCGCACAAGCGGUGGAGCAUGUGGUUAAUUCGAAGCAACGCGAAAAACCUUACCAGGUCUUGACUCCUCUGACACCCUAGAAAAGGCUUCCCUUCGGGGCAA
Molecule: ribosomal RNA, 991 nt
Filed under: Bacillus paralicheniformis
Lineage: Bacteria; Bacillati; Bacillota; Bacilli; Caryophanales; Bacillaceae
Description: bacterial SSU rRNA
Rfam family: Bacterial small subunit ribosomal RNA
Source: RNAcentral